CCAGGAUUGGCGACCCCUGGCGCCACCCUCACCCCCAUCAGCGUUUGGAUGCCUUCCUCUAGGUCCUUUAGGAGGUCAUAGACGUUGCUGUCAGAGGCGCCGUACACCAGGCUGUUGGCGAAGACACUCCUGAGGAACUGCACGGGCUCCAGCCACGACUGGAUGAGCAGCAGGGAGAUGCGGAGCAGCUCUAGGUUCUGCAGGGGAAGGACGGGCAUUGGCUGUGCUGCCCGGGGACUCUGAGAAACAGAGGGAGGUCUGGGGGUGUCAAAGGCCAGCUGGUGCAGACGAUGGGCGCGGAGCAUAGCGUUGUCAAAAAGCCUGGAUAAGGGAAUGGUUGGGAAGGCAGAGCAGGCCAAAAGCCAGCACUCUCCCUGCUCCAGGAGCUGUUUGUUUUUCUCUCUCCAUCCCUCCAGGGACCAGGAGCUUUCUGAGAUUGGCCAAAUACUGGGCUUACAUGGCGAUACUCACAUUCAGAAGCCCCAAACCUGAGGGUUAGUGCCCCCGUCCCAUCUACAGGUCGCUGCCUCUCCCCUCAGGACACAUUGUGCCCAAAGGGAUUUUAGGGGCGCUUACCUGUAGCCAUUGCAGCUAGGUGAGCUGUCCACAGGACCCUGAGUGGUUCGGGGAGUUGGGCCUUGGGAUCCUUGAGCUGGUCUCUUGUGGGCCCUUUUUAUACCCUGGCCCCUUCUCUCCCACUGUUGACCCCACCUGUUUCUGUGUACAUUUAUGCAUGGGGCCACUGACGGGCUUGUGCUAAUGGAUAAUUUAGAAGCUCCUCCCACACAUGCUGGGAUCAUGCCCCCUGGCUUGUCAUCUUUCCCUUCCCACCGUCACCAGUGUUGUGAGGGUUGUGCACA
RNAcentral lists this long non-coding RNA (860 nucleotides) under Homo sapiens (human). RNAcentral's name for it is "HSALNT0391082". The record is from RNAcentral. Lineage: Eukaryota; Metazoa; Chordata; Mammalia; Primates; Hominidae.